CCCUGUCCUUGCAGGACACCACGAGCAAAGCAGGUCCUGGCAAACCUGGAGCCGUUCCGGGUGUCCCGGGAGCAGUGCAUGAAGGCCCUGCAGAUCAACAAGCUGCGGAAAUGGUCCCAAGACAGUUCCUCUGCUUGGUGAAGCAGAAGGAGCUCCGUGACCCCAGAGAAGAGCAGAAGUGAGACGUGGGCUCAGGGCAGCCACAGUGCACCAGGAAAAAUGGAAUAAAGGAAUCCCUCACCUGGG
Neopelma chrysocephalum (saffron-crested tyrant-manakin) is the source of this 246-nucleotide long non-coding RNA. RefSeq lists it as uncharacterized. The record is from RefSeq and is a predicted model, not a curated record. Lineage: Eukaryota; Metazoa; Chordata; Aves; Passeriformes; Pipridae. The transcript has 2 exons.